CACCGCGGUUAUACGAGAGGCCCAAGUUGAAAGACACCGGCGUAAAACGUGAUUAAGAUAAACUUAAACUAAAGUUAAACAUCUUCAAGACUGUUAUACGUACCCGAAGAUAGGAGCCCCAACUACGAAAGUAACUUUAUACAAACUGAACCCACGAAAGCUAUAGCA
This 168-nucleotide ribosomal RNA is filed under the name Liparis punctulatus. RNAcentral's name for it is "partial 12S ribosomal RNA". Lineage: Eukaryota; Metazoa; Chordata; Actinopteri; Perciformes; Liparidae. The record is from RNAcentral.